UACAGAGGGUGCGAGCGUUGUUCGGAAUUACUGGGCGUAAAGCGCGCGCAGGCGGCCUUUUAAGUCUGGCGGUUAAAUGCCGGGGCUCAACCCCGUUGCGUGCCGCGGAUACUGGGAGGCUGGAGACGAGUAGAGGCAAGCGGAAUUCCGGGUGUAGCGGUGGAAUGCGUAGAGAUCCGGAAGAACACCGGAGGCGAAGGCGGCUUGCUGGGCUCGGUCUGACGCUGAGGCGCGAAAGCGUGGGGAGCGAACAGG
Molecule: ribosomal RNA, 255 nt
Filed under: uncultured bacterium
Lineage: Bacteria
Description: partial 16S ribosomal RNA
Rfam family: Bacterial small subunit ribosomal RNA
Source: RNAcentral